RNA transcript from Nerophis ophidion (straightnose pipefish), 8924 nucleotides. It is a transcript of the gene named zinc finger protein 180-like, with no coding region annotated. Lineage: Eukaryota; Metazoa; Chordata; Actinopteri; Syngnathiformes; Syngnathidae. The transcript has 7 exons. The record is from RefSeq and is a predicted model, not a curated record.
GUAUUGAUAGUGACUACACAGUAGCGGCUGGAUAUUGGUAGGGACGUGUCCCUAGCGUCCCUACCCAAUUCUACGCCCUUGUAAAAUAGUUUUACCGGGGAUGGGGAGCUGGUUGUACUUACUCCUCUGGCGAGACCUGGAAAAGAGCUGGGUACUUGUUUCUCUCGCGAGAUCUGACAACACUGCGCGUGAACCAAACAUGGCGAGGAUAAAGCAAGAUGGCGUCUGGAGACGUUUUUGCAGUCGUCAAAGUUCAGUGUUCUUAAUCUGUGCCUCCAUGUACACAUAUAUGUCCUUUAUUAGACUCUAUUAAAUAGAGUAUACAUCUUUAAUAACUGUUUGCAUCCGGUUAUAUUAGUUUGAGCGCACUUUGAUGCAUCUCGAGCUAGUUUGCUUGCUAGUUAGCUUAGCUUGUUAGCUGUUAACAAAGAGAGGCGGAAGUGAUCAACACGUCGCUAAGUAGAGAUCAAAUGUGAGUGUAAAGUGUUGUGAUUGUGUGAAAAUGUGCGAAAGAACGAAAGCAAAUUAUGAGGAGGAACUUUGUCCAACAAAAGACAAGGAGCGACAACAUCAACUACUGGACGCUGUUUUCAAGAAACAUCAAGUUGUGUUACACAAAACAGGUGGAUUGGACGUUGGCCUGGGAAGGCAUUCCCCUGAAGGUGCUCUGCAUGGGUCAGCUGGAAGUACCCUGACUGCUGUGAGGGGGAAACUGAUGAGAUCGUGAGAUCAUAUAUGUCGAAGAAGAACAUCUUUCUCAUGAGCAGGAGGAGGAACCACUAUCCCCCCACAUACACGAGGAAGAAGAGGUACCACAUUACCAACACAUCAAAGAGGGAGGAGAGGAGCCACAGCCCCCCCACAUUAACGAGGAAGACAAGACGCCGCAGACCCAUAGUGUUAAACUGACCCUUCACAUUAAAAGGCAAGCGGAGGACUCACUGAACUUACACAUAAAAAAUGAAGAGGAGGACCCACUAACCCCUCACAUUAAAAAGGAAGAGGGGGACCCACUGACCCCUCACAUUAAAAAGGAAGAUGAGGACCCUCUGACCCCCUACUUUAAAGAGGAAGAGGCGGACCAAGAGCUGCCGCACAUUAAAGAGGAAGAGGAGGAACACCGCAUCAGUCAGCCUAAAUGUUUGGAGGAGUUCCCAGUGACUGGUGUCCCUGUGAAGAGUGAAUAUGGUGAGGUCAAAGGUGAAAGUGAGGAGAGGGGAGGGGCGGAGCCUCCACUCAGCAGCUCAACACAACACAUGACAACAAAAGCUGAUGAAGACCACUGUGGAGGAUCACAAGCAGACAAGCUCUUAGCUCCACUAUCAGAUAGUGAGGACACAACGUCACACUCUCCUGACACUGAUGAUGAAGACUCUAAAGAUGAUAAAACAUGUCACACUGACAACACUCACUUCACAUGUUCUCUCUGUGACAAAACAUUUAAAUACCAUAGUUAUCUGAAAGUACACAUGAGAACACACACUGGAGAAAAACCUUUUAUCUGUUCACUCUGUGGUAAAGGUUUUGUAGAAAGUCCCACUUUGAAGGUACACAUGAGAAGACACACUGGUGAAAAACCUUUUUCUUGCUCAAUCUGUGGUAAAGGUUUUGCACAAAGUUCAUGCUUGGUAAAACACAGAAGAACACACACUGGAGAAAAAUCUUCUAUCUGUUCAAUCUGUGGUAAAGGUUUUGUUCAAAGUAACAAUUUGAAAGUGCACAUGAGAAUUCACACCAGAGAAAAACCUUUUAUCUGUUCAAUAUGUAGUAAAGGUUUUACACAAAGUCAACAUUUGAAAACACACAUGAGAACACACACUGGUGAAAAAUCACAGUCCUUUUGAAUCUGCAACAGAAGCUUUUGUGACCAAUCAAACCUUGUAGCACACCUGAAAAGACACCCAGGAGAGAAAGUGUUGAGUUGCAGUGUGUGUGGUGAAAGAUUCUCUUCUAAGUACCAGUGUAAGAAACACAAGUGUGCUGGUGAGAACAGCAGCAGCAAAUGAAACUGCAGGAUUUGAAACAAACUGUCAAGACUUUAAUUUUGACUUUCUAACAUCAGCACAUAUAACAUGUGUGACAUUGUUGUUUGUGUAACAACCUGUUUAAUAUGCUUCUACAUUUAUAGAUUAGAUAGUUUGAAAUAUGAAAGUAUUACAUAUUUGUAUUUGUAAGUGUUAAUAAUCCCAUAGAUAAGCACCUUUAUAUGAUAUACAUAUGUACUGGAUCACAUUUGAAACAUCUUCUGAACCACUUCAGGGAGCAUAUUAUUAUUUACUUUAUACAUCAUUUGAACAGUUGUCUUUUAUACAAUUUUAAAAUGUGUGACUUUAUGAAUCAUUUGUUGGGUAUCUGUAAUCCAUUUUAUUAAUUAUCUUUAUUACUGUCUUUUGUAUUAUGAUGAUUGUGUUGAUAUUGUUUUAUACUUUAACUUAUAAUGUCUAAAUUGUUUGUGGAAGGAUGGUUUUGUUUUUACAAACAUACAUUUGUGGGUUAAAAAAAAUCCAUCCAUCCAUCCAUUUACUACCGCUUAUUCCCUUUAAGGUCGCAGGGGGCACUGGUGCCUAUCUCAGCUACAAUCGGGCGGAAGGCGGUGUACACCCUGGACAAGUCGCCACCUCAUCGCAGGGCCAACACAGAUAGACAGACAACACUCACAUUCACACACUAGGGCCAAUUUAGUGUUGCCAAUCAACCUAUCCCCGGGUGCAUGUCUUUGGAGGUGGGAGUAAGCCGGAGUACCCGGAGGGAACCCACGCAGUCACGGGGAAAACAUGUAAACUCCACACAGAAAGAUCCCUUAUUGUGUUUUAGACAUUUUUUACAACAUCAAUAUCAAUCAAAGUUUGGAAUGUCAGGCAAAAGCCGAUAUUUUACAUUAUCUCACAGUGAUUUCAUUCAUUCAUUUCAUUCACAAAAUAAACUGUUUAUUUAGUUUCCCUAUCACAGAACGAACAAGUGUUGUAUCCAAUUGCAAAACAUCUUAAAAAUUAUUUUAAGUUUUCAAUCCGGGGCUUUUUUUUUUUUUAAAUUAACUCCUUGGCUUCUGCGAUGAGGUGGCGACUUGUCCAGGGUGUACGCCACCUUCUGCCGAAUUGUAGCUGAGAUAGGCACCAUGAUUAUCCCAACAUCUAAGAGAACAGUCAUAUUGGCAAACUCCGAUGAACAUGAAUUAGUUUGGAUGUUCAGUGACAAGCUGGGAACUGUCAAAGCUCCAAGCACCAAUUGCUUGAACACAAAGCUCAUUAUUGACAAUCAAGCCACUUUUACAUCGUCAUCAAGUAAGAAGGUUUUGACCAAAAAAGAAGCCACUCUCCCAAAGUUGCCAACUCUGAGCUGGAUUUAACUUGGAUGCUCCCCACAUGUUCGAGCCAAAUGCCUUGGGGACACAAGUUUAAUGGUCCGUUGAGACAAAUAGUCAGCUACUUUUGUUAAAGUCCAAUUAACAGCAAAAUGGCUGAACAAGGUACACAAGAGGGUAUUCAAACAAGAUGGUUUUAAAGGGUUUCAGGCAGGUUAAAUUAAGUUUAAUUGUAUGCAAUAUUCCUAACAUUCAUGGUAGUAAAACAUUCUUCAAUGACUUGGUCUCAUUUUGGUAUAUUUUUAAAUUACAUCUGCGGUCCCCUCCAAGGUUUCUCAUUGUCAUCCCACUGGGUUGAGUUUUUUCUUGCCCUGAUGUGGGAUCUGAGCCGAGGAUGUCGUCGUGGCUUGUGCAGCCCUUUGAGACACUUGUGAUUUAGGGCUAUAAGUACACUUUGAUUGUUUGAUUGGUUGAUUGAUAAUAAAGUGAUUUAAAAAUCAGACUUAGUAUCAGGUGAUACUAACCUUCGAUAACUCAGCUGGUAGAGCAGAGGAUUGUAGUUGCUCAUGCUGAAAUCCUUAGGUCGCUGGAUCAAAUCCGGCUCGAAUGAUCAUCAGUUACCCUUUAAAAAAAAAAAAAGUAAUCAACAUAAACAACACAAGAUACACAUACAAUUAGUGCACCAGCCCAAAAACUGUCCCUCCCUCAUUCUCACUCAUUCGCACAUUAAAUCUUUGUGUGAUGUCGUUCAAAUAAGAAUCAAAAUAAUGUCUUACAUUCUGAGGAUGUAAACUGUGUGUUGUUUUGGCGUAAGAUAUUUACGAUAUACAACCUGUCCUAAAGUAAGAUGUUUCUUCUUUCUUCUGAUGCAAUGGAUAAUGGGUCUCACUACGGCCUGCAAAAUUCAAGGUUCAACUCCUGGCCAGCGUGCUGUUGUUUGUUAACUGAACUGAAACAACAUUCAGUGCAAUUUUGGGGGGAGUUUAUUUUGCUUCUUUUUUUUAAUCUACAAACUGAAACAUGUGUUGUUUUUUCUCUUUAUUAUUGCGAAUGUAUAACUGGUAGUUGUAUCUGUUCUUAUACUCAAGGCAUUCAAUCAGAAUAAAGUGGGUGAGGAAAAAGGUGACCAAAACAAUAUAAAUGUGACUAUUUUACAUCUUAACAGUUGUUCUUUACACCACAAUGGAGUAAAACCUAAACAUUUCCCCAGAACAUUAAGCAUUAGCACACUGAUUGAGAUUCUCUUACAUGAUGUCGUUCAAACAGAAUGUGGCUUGAGCGGAUCGUGCAACAUUAGCCAUCAGGAGAGCAAACACAUUAUCAAUCAAAAUGAGUAGGUACAGCUGUGAUGUUAUAGUGGUUAGUACUCUGUGUUGUGGUCGCAGCAACCCCGGUUCAACUCUGGUUCAUGGCACUUUACCGUUUAAACUGCCUUUUUUUAAGCAUGGUUCAUAGUUCAAAGCAUAGUUAGGGGUGGCAUGGCGUAGUGGGUAGAGCGGCAGUGCCAGAAACCUGAGGGUUGCAGGUUCGCUUCCCACCUAUUGACAUCUGAAUCGCUGCCAUUGUGUCCUUGGGCAGGACACUUCACCCUUGCCCCCGGUGCCGCUCACACUGAUGAAUGAAUGAUUGGUGGUGGUAGGAGGGGCCGUAGGCGCAAACUGGCAGCCACGCUUCUGUCAGUCUACCCCAGGGCAGCUGUGGCUACAGAUGUAGCUUGCCACCACCAGGUGUGAAUGAAUGUUAAGUCCCACUUCUCUGUGAGCGCUUUGAGUAUCUAACAAUAGAAAAGCGCGAAGUAAAUCUAAUCCAUUAUUAUUAUUCAUCUACACUUGAAGACUUAGUUAUUAGCCUCCUAAGAACAUUUCACAAUUUCUGAAAAAUCUGGCAAAUUUUUGCAAUAAUCAUAACAUUCUCGAUAGUAAAACAUUAAUCAGAAGCAAUUUGGUCCAUUUUUUAGAGAGCCUGAAAUGCUCAGUCAUGGAGCGUAAGACAUUCUUUUUGAGCUUCCGGGAUUCAAGUACCUGUUAUGCGGACCAAUACUAGCCUUUGAGACCCCCUUGGAAAGGCCUCAUUCCACCCAUCAAAUGUAACCAAUAGGGAAGACCUUGGUUACAUUUGAAUAUGUAAAUGCAAGUGUUAUUUCUAUAGCUGAAAUAGCUCAGUUGGGAGAGCGUCAGAAUAAAGCUCUGAAGGUUCCUGGUUCGACCCUGGGUUUCAGCACAAUUCUGUGUGCUUCUAAACCAGUUCUUGUUACUAAUAAAAUUUAUGUGGCUCUUACAAUACUGAAAUGGUCUCCCUGACCUACCAGCCUUGCUGGUGGACUCCUAGUAUCAGUUGUUACACACCUUUUCUCCAUUUUAAAUUUGAACAACUGUUACGUGGUUUAACAGUGUAUCGUUCCUUAAGCCAAUGUUUGGUCUUUAACUGACCCUUACAUCGGGCUGUUUCAAACACAAAUUAUUUGCCUUAGGGGUUUGUCUUGGACGAUAUAACUUGAAACUGAAGUAAUAAAGCUGAGCUCAGUUUGGCGGGAAGGUGCAUCCAACACACAGCAAAAGAUUAACCACAACUUUUUCAUACAGAUACAGUAUCUAACAAUGUGUGUUUAAAGUAUUGCUUUUAAUCCUUCAGAUAAUUGCAUUAACGCUCUCCCACCUGAGCUAAAGUGGAUGUGAGGGAUGUUUUUGGUUUCAGUUUUUCAAAUGAAAUAGAGAAAAAACAAUCACUGUUGAAAACUAUUUAAACUUGAUACAGAUUACAAGGACUGCUACCUGGGGGCAAAGGACUGUAUUUUAAAAAGUGUAAGGAGGUUAACAUCACCCGCCUGAACAGGGACUUGAAACCCUGGACCCUCAGAUUAAAAGUCUGCCAACUGAGCAACCCAGGCCCUUUUCAAUGCUGAUUUGCCAACAUCCGAGAUAACAGCCAUAUUGUCAAUCUCAGGUGAAAGUGAAUUAGUCAGCAUGUUCAAUGACAAACUGCGAACUGUCAAAGCUGAAGCUCGCCAAUUGCUUGAACCCAAAGCUCAUUUUUGACAGUUAGACCAGUUUUACAUCGGCAUCAACAAAGGUUUUCAUCAACAAAGAAGGUUUUGACCAGAUAAGAAGCUCCUCUCCCGAAGUUGCCAACUCUGAGCUGGAUUUAACUUGGAUGAUCCCCAGAAUUUUGCCAGAAGUAUUUUGCUUCAAUUUUUAGUGGAGGUUAGCUGCAACAGGUAGAGCUGGUAAAGGCCCAGGCUGCAACAAAUAGAAGGUCACUAGAUUUUAAAGUCCAACAUAAGCAGUCAGUAAAGCCCUGUUUUGGAAGUAAGCCUAAUAUAAAUUGUGUGUUCCUUUGACGUAAAAUGUUUACAAUAUACAAACUGUACUACAGUAGAACUGCUUUUCACAUAGGGCUAGUGGCGCAAUGGAUAACGCAUCUGACUACGGAUCAGAAGAUUCUAGGUUCAACUCCUGGCUAGCUCGUUUAUUUUCGUUAGUUGAACUGAAACAAAAUUCAGUGUCAUUUCUUUGGGAGUUAUUCUUUUUUUUGCAUUUAAAAUAAAUAUCUACUUACUGGAACAUGCAUUUUUUAAUAUUUUUAUUUUUAUGAAUAGUUAACCGCUGUAAUUGUGUAGUGGUUAGUACUCUUUGUUGUGGCCUCAGCAACGCUUGUUCGAACCUGGUCAUGGCACUUUACCCUUUCUUCAAGCUGUUUGAUGAUGAUUUUUGAAAAAAGAGGUAUCUUGUUCCCUCUGGUAAGUACUUGAACAAGAUGUGAAACCAACCAGGUACUCUGGCAAAAUCAAAAAUAUCUAUUUUAUGUCGUUACAGUAUUGGCCUUGAUGCAUCAUUUAAUUUGACUGAUGUGUGCUUUGUGCUAUUACUUUAUCUCUUGGUAAAAUUGCAUUAUGAGCUCAAUCAAUCAAUACUUUCUUUCUUUUAUUUCUUUCUUUAGUUUAUUUCAAACAUGAACAUACUUACAACAUAAUACAUCAGACAAUUUCAUAUUACAUCAUGUCCAAAAAGGAGUAGGAAGAAGCAAAGCUUUUUUAUUCCUACACUGUAAAAAAUUAUUGUAAAAAUACAAAAAAAAAUCACAGUUAUAUACUGUUCUUCUUAAAUGCAGUUAAGUACUGUUUUUUUUGUUGCAUUUUACAAAAAAUAUCGACUAACAGUAAGCUACUGCACAACCUACAGUAUAAUACAGUAUUUUUCAGACUUGUUUCUUGGCUCCGCCCACAAUUGUCAGACCGAGCUUCUUUUCGCACUGUCUGCUGCUUUCACGCAUAACGCGUACCCAGGCGGAAGAAAAAGUAGUUCCAAGUAAACCGUGUCAUUUAUACAAGAUUUCAAUAGUACUUCCCAUUGUGUUGCUGUUGAUAUUUUUACCUCAAAACAUGUACUAUCAAAGUAUCAACAUUUUGAUUUGAAAAUCAAUUUUAGAGCAUUAAGAUCUGGCACUCCUUUUAUUGAUAUUCAAGUAUCAUUCCGCACAUCUUAACUAGUCUGAAGUUGCCAAGUACUGAUGUUGGACGAUCCACCUCCAUCUACAUGAUCACAUGGCCGCCGGAGCUACAUCCAUCCUACUGGUCUCUUUUUGAUAACAAGAUGGGGAGUUGACUCUUCAUAUCAUCCAGCUGUUGAUUGCCUAUUUUGAUGACAGAAGAGGUGCACUGAUACUCCUGGCAGAUAUGUCUGCCACUGCAGGCGAUGUGGAGCGGACACUGACCCUCCCGACCAGUCCACGACUGAUACUGCUAGUUGCUGGUGACAAAGUCACAAUAAAACGUUAGAUGAUCAGCAUGGAAGGUGAUGUCAUCUGCGAAGGCGUCCAACCUAGCUUCAUCUAAGGGCUUGCUGCCCUUCUUGCCACCUACUAUGUGUUCAACUUGGAAUACCAAGAGGAAGGUGCUCGGACAUUGGAAUUUGUUCAAAGGCGAUUCAUUGGCAUUAAACCUGAGAGGGGAACAAAGGCUAGCCAGGGAAAGAUGGUGUCCAAGAAGACCGGGAAGCUGGUCCAGAAAAAGGCAGCAACUGUAAAUCCUCACGUAGCCACCCUUAUAAAAAUUCUCACAGACUUUGGUGGGGCUUUAUGUUGCCCGACCACUGAACACUGGGUAUGUCAUGUUCUGUUAGUUUAGUCAAUUGUGCAGUUCAGUUUUGUUUUACAAAUUUUUCUAUUGCACAUGAUCCCAACUUGUUUUGUUCUAAAUGUUAAAAAUGUUAUUUGAAAAUGUGUGUGCCCUCUCUGACGGUGAAGCAGAGCCACUAUGUAUGGAGGUGUGUGUGUGGGGGAUGUUUACAUCAUAUCCAAAUGGACAUUUUCAUUUUUGAUCGUUUUGAUUGUUAUCCGGAUGUAGGAACCACGUUCUCUGAUGCCAUCGUUUGUUCCGAUUGCAGGAGUUGCUUAACAUUGUUUUAAAUGUUAAAAUGUUAAUUUAAAAUGUGUGUGCUCUCUCGGAUGGUACAACAGAGGCACUAUGUUUGGGGGUGUCCUGGUGGGAGGAUAUCUAAAUGGACAUUUUCAUUUUGAUUAUCUAGUUCUAAGGACUGUUCUGGUGCUAAAGUUGCUUAAGAUUGUUCUAAAUGUUAAAAUGCUUCACUGAAAAAAAAAAGAAUGCACUAAAUGUACAUUGAAUGUG